GAUGAACGCUGGCGGUGUGCCUAAUACAUGCAAGUCGAGCGAACAGACGAGGAGCUUACUCCUCUGACGUUAGCGGCGGACGGGUGAGUAACACGUGGAUAACCUACCUAUAAGACUGGGAUAACUUCGGGAAACCGGAGCUAAUACCGGAUAACAUGUUGAACCGCAUGGUUCAACAGUGAAAGACGGUCUUGCUGUCACUUAUAGAUGGAUCCGCGUCGCAUUAGCUAGUUGGUAAGGUAACGGCUUACCAAGGCAACGAUGCGUAGCCGACCUGAGAGGGGGAUCGGCCACACUGGAACUGAGACACGGUCCAGACUACUACGGGAGGCAGCAGUAGGGAAUCUUCCGCAAUGGGCGAAAGCCUGACGGAGCAACGCCGCGUGAGUGAAGAAGGUCUUCGGAUCGUAAAACUCUGUUAUUAGGGAAGAACAAAUGUGUAAGUAACUAUGCACGUCUUGACGGUACCUAAUCAGAAAGCCACGGCUAACUACGUG
This 497-nucleotide ribosomal RNA is filed under the name uncultured bacterium. RNAcentral describes it as "partial 16S ribosomal RNA". It matches the Rfam family "Bacterial small subunit ribosomal RNA", at positions 28 to 507 of the family's 1533-position model. The record is from RNAcentral.